Molecule: long non-coding RNA, 1561 nt
Organism: Raphanus sativus (radish)
Lineage: Eukaryota; Viridiplantae; Streptophyta; Magnoliopsida; Brassicales; Brassicaceae
Exons: 3
Source: RefSeq, a predicted model, not a curated record
GAAAAGUCCAAUGGAUUCCCCUCUGCAUCAGUCACUUUGCCUCCAGCUUCUGAAGGACACGAACAUCAGAUCAAACAAGCAUUGGUGUGAUCAUUCAUGAAGAUUGUACCAAAAGAUAAGAUGUUAACAACGGGUGAAUACCUGAAACUAGGAUUGAUCCAGCGGCGUGAUUCCUUAUUGAUUCAGGUCUUGGUUUGCGAGUAAACCUCAAGUACACUGAUCCAAGAUCCACUGGUGACCAUUAGGACCUCCAUGUGAUUUGUCAAUGGCGUUGAGCACAUCAUUUGAAGACAAAGUAGAAGCAGAAGCAUAGGAAUCAUCAGUAGCAAGAGUAUCUUUAACAAGCUCUGUAAUACGUGACAAAACUGUCUCAGCAGCAACUUUCCUUAGACCAUCUGCAACAGAGGUCCAAGAGGAGUCCAUAGCCCAAAUCCUUAGGAUUUUUGAAAUAUAAUAUUAAUAUUUGGGCCAAGAUUAUCACGGAUCAGUCCGUAAAUAAGGUGUAGAAGGAUCGAGUCCUUAGUACACGUGUCGCGUAACUAAUCAGUCUCUCCUCUCUUCUCUCUCUCACCAAACUCCGCCGUAGAAGAAGAAGCCAUGGGAGAUAAGCUCUUUCUCUCUUUCCCUCCAUCACCGUAAAUUGAUUCCUCUUUGAUUUUUCCUUGAGUAGUUUCUUCUUCCCCUGACCGUUGAUUUGAACUUGUUCGGUCGGGCUUUUGAAUUUUUACAGCUUUUGAUUGGAGGAGAGAUGGAGAUGAAUUCAAACAAACCGCCGUUGUUUCUCCCCAAACGCUCUCAAUCCGUCAACAGCCGCCAUCCCUCGCCUUACCCGGCCACCGAAAUGUCCGCGGCCACGAAGAUGCUCAUCACCUCCACCAGGAGCCUCUCGGUUUCCUUCCAAGGCGAAGCCUUUUCCCUUCCCAGCAGCAAAAAGAAGGAAGCCGCCGCCGCUCCUCCCGUUAUCUUCAGUGGCGGUUUGUCAAUGCGAGGACUGAGUAUACUUUAAUGGUGCAAAGAUUGAAUGAUGAGAAAAACCUGUGAAAUGCAUGGCUAUCAAUCUCAGAACUGCGCCACAGCGUUACCUUAAAGCGAAUCAAGUUACUUUUGCAAAGGCAGAAACUGAAACUGGCCAAACGAGGUCGCUAACGAUUCCACCGAUGAUCGUGCAGUCAUUUUGCUAGUCUCAUCUACUUGGUUUUGGUUUCUGUUCAAGAGAGCUGGUUACAAUCUCUUGUCUUUAGUCUCCAGUGUUCUGCUUCGUCUUGUCGCCAUCCUCUUCUUAUGGGCCAAGUCUGCUUCACUACUCAACCGGUGACAUCUCUCUGCUCUUUCUACAUUUUAUUACCAAAAGAUGAAACUUUUAGGCUUGGAUUUUGUUGGUAUUAGAGAUUUUCCAUCAGCUUCUUGUUUGGUUGAUUUAUACUAUGUUAUAAAUUUCAUGGUAUUCAGUUUCCAGUUUCAUAGAGUUCAUUGUUGUUAUGUUCAGCACACUUUGUGCUACGUGUUGUAUUGUGUUAAUUGUUUCAGGAUUCUGUUUCAAUAGCAGAGAAUUGUUGGGUUU